UUGAAGAGUUUGAUCAUGGCUCAGAUUGAACGCUGGCGGCAGGCCUAACACAUGCAAGUCGAGCGGUAGCACAGAGAGCUUGCUCUCGGGUGACGAGCGGCGGACGGGUGAGUAAUGUCUGGGAAACUGCCUGAUGGAGGGGGAUAACUACUGGAAACGGUAGCUAAUACCGCAUAAUGUCGCAAGACCAAAGUGGGGGACCUUCGGGCCUCAUGCCAUCAGAUGUGCCCAGAUGGGAUUAGCUAGUAGGUGGGGUAACGGCUCACCUAGGCGACGAUCCCUAGCUGGUCUGAGAGGAUGACCAGCCACACUGGAACUGAGACACGGUCCAGACUCCUACGGGAGGCAGCAGUGGGGAAUAUUGCACAAUGGGCGCAAGCCUGAUGCAGCCAUGCCGCGUGUGUGAAGAAGGCCUUCGGGUUGUAAAGCACUUUCAGCGGGGAGGAAGGCGUUAAGGUUAAUAACCUUGGCGAUUGACGUUACCCGCAGAAGAAGCACCGGCUAACUCCGUGCCAGCAGCCGCGGUAAUACGGAGGGUGCAAGCGUUAAUCGGAAUUACUGGGCGUAAAGCGCACGCAGGCGGUCUGUCAAGUCGGAUGUGAAAUCCCCGGGCUUAACCUGGGAACUGCAUUCGAAACUGGCAGGCUAGAGUCUUGUAGAGGGGGGUAGAAUUCCAGGUGUAGCGGUGAAAUGCGUAGAGAUCUGGAGGAAUACCGGUGGCGAAGGCGGCCCCCUGGACAAAGACUGACGCUCAGGUGCGAAAGCGUGGGGAGCAAACAGGAUUAGAUACCCUGGUAGUCCACGCCGUAAACGAUGUCGAUUUGGAGGUUGUGCCCUUGAGGCGUGGCUUCCGGAGCUAACGCGUUAAAUCGACCGCCUGGGGAGUACGGCCGCAAGGUUAAAACUCAAAUGAAUUGACGGGGGCCCGCACAAGCGGUGGAGCAUGUGGUUUAAUUCGAUGCAACGCGAAGAACCUUACCUGGUCUUGACAUCCACAGAACUUUCCAGAGAUGGAUUGGUGCCUUCGGGAACUGUGAGACAGGUGCUGCAUGGCUGUCGUCAGCUCGUGUUGUGAAAUGUUGGGUUAAGUCCCGCAACGAGCGCAACCCUUAUCCUUUGUUGCCAGCGGUUAGGCCGGGAACUCAAAGGAGACUGCCAGUGAUAAACUGGAGGAAGGUGGGGAUGACGUCAAGUCAUCAUGGCCCUUACGACCAGGGCUACACACGUGCUACAAUGGCAUAUACAAAGAGAAGCGACCUCGCGAGAGCAAGCGGACCUCAUAAAGUAUGUCGUAGUCCGGAUUGGAGUCUGCAACUCGACUCCAUGAAGUCGGAAUCGCUAGUAAUCGUAGAUCAGAAUGCUACGGUGAAUACGUUCCCGGGCCUUGUACACACCGCCCGUCACACCAUGGGAGUGGGUUGCAAAAGAAGUAGGUAGCUUAACCUUCGGGAGGGCGCUUACCACUUUGUGAUUCAUGACUGGGGUGAAGUCGUAACAAGGUAACCGUAGGGGAACCUGCGGUUGGAUCACCUCCUU
RNAcentral lists this ribosomal RNA (1536 nucleotides) under Klebsiella pneumoniae. RNAcentral describes it as "bacterial SSU rRNA". It matches the Rfam family "Bacterial small subunit ribosomal RNA". Lineage: Bacteria; Pseudomonadati; Pseudomonadota; Gammaproteobacteria; Enterobacterales; Enterobacteriaceae. The record is from RNAcentral.